UGGGGAAUUUUGCACAAUGGGGGAAACCCUGAUGCAGCGACGCCGCGUGAUUUAGAAGGCCUUCGGGUUGUAAAAAUCUUUUCUAUGGGAAGAAAAUGACAGUACCAUAGGAAUAAGGACCGGCUAAUUACGUGCCAGCAGCCGCGGUAAUACGUAAGGUCCGAGCGUUGUCCGGAAUCAUUGGGCGUAAAGGGUACGUAGGCGGGUAAGCAAGUUAGAAGUGAAAUCCUAUAGCUCAACUAUAGUAAGCUUUUAAAACUGCUCAUCUGGAGGUAUGGAAGGGAAAGUGGAAUUCCUAGUGUAGCGGUGAAAUGCGCAGAUAUUAGGAGGAAUACCGGUGGCGAAGGCGACUUUCUGGCCAUAACCUCACGCUGAGGUACGAAAGCGUGGGUAGCAAACAGG
Molecule: ribosomal RNA, 402 nt
Filed under: bacterium
Lineage: Bacteria
Description: partial 16S ribosomal RNA
Rfam family: Bacterial small subunit ribosomal RNA
Source: RNAcentral